Molecule: RNA transcript, 2813 nt
Organism: Monomorium pharaonis (pharaoh ant)
Lineage: Eukaryota; Metazoa; Arthropoda; Insecta; Hymenoptera; Formicidae
Gene name: CCR4-NOT transcription complex subunit 2
Exons: 10
Source: RefSeq, a predicted model, not a curated record
UGUUUAAGUUCGUGAAACUGUGAGUGACAAAACACUGGAUCCUUGUUGCCGAAGUGGUUACUGUGUAAUGUUUAUGAGAUUCUCAUCGGUCUCAAUAUCCACGUGCGAAUUUGUGAUUUAACAUUAAGCGCGGACAAAUAAAAAAAACAAAGCGACAAUAUUGUUCUACCCGCUUGUUCAGAAUUACGCGAGAAAGAUCCUCUGUGAGAGUCUACUACCAGCUUCGUCAACCAACCUCGACAACGAGAGGCACAUCGACGACGUCUCCGCGCGCGCGCGUGCGCGUGCGAGAGAGCGAGAAAAAGAGGGAGACCGAGAACGAAGGAGCCAGUGUUUUUCUUUUUUUUUCAUUUAAAUAUUCGUCUACAUUGUUUAUCAUCACGAAUACAAUGGAAUUCGUUGCGUCGUGAUAUACGCAGCACAGGCGCUCGUCCUAGGUUUCUACAAGCUGUCACAAACAUUUUUGUCAUGGAUCAUUGGCGAUUCCAUGAGAUCAGACAAUCCUCGAGUGUUGUACCAGAGAAAGAAAAGUGAAUGUGCUGAUCUGAAUACAAGAAUAUCUGAAUACGAGACAAGAGUGAUUGGUGUGUCUGCGAUUGGUGUAGGCGAGAACAAUUUUUUUCACGGUAGUGCCACUGGGCUAUGGCCAAUCUGAACUUUGAACAACCGCCACGCAGUAUUGCGAACGCAAGUCUCACUUCACGUACAGCUGGUGGUGGUGGUGGGGGGGGUUUGAGCAGCGCGGCCCUCACGGGUCAUGUCACUCCUACCUCGGGUAUGUUCUCAGGCUCGUCUGCAAGCACCUCUAGUACAGUCAACUCGGCGAUAGUCGCCACUAACAUUUAUCCUGGAGCAUCAGUCUCCAGUGGUGGACAGAACAGUCAUCAUCAGCAGCAGCAACAACUCUCUCCUAUGGGCAGUAGAGGACUAUUUGGACAGAGAGCUUUUACAGAUAGACGUACAAUGCCUGCUCUUGGAGCUUCAAAUCCAAUGGGUAGUAUGGGCAGUUUCGGAAUACCUCCAAGUCGCAAUUACGGAUCUCAAGGUGCGGUUAAUAAUUUCCACUCUGUUUUUGGGAGUGGAGGCGGUGGAGAUACGAGUACUCCACCUUUGCUAGAUCUCUCGGAGUUUCCCUCUUUAACGAAUAGAGGUCAAGGUGAUUCUAUGCCGCAACCUAGUCCUAUGCCAGGGAAACAGCCUUAUGUUGGAAUGGUGAAGCAACCAACAUCUGAGUCGAGCGAAUUUACUAUGAGUUCAGAGGACUUUCCCGCGUUACCGGGAACGCAAAAUCGAGAAGGCCCAUCACCUGGUGGUAGCAUGUCCGGUGAUAAGAAUAUAUCUGUAGGACUCGGUCCAGAAAUCGGACAGGAUGUGUUGCAAGCCAACAGAGCACCUGGAUCUGAGAAAUCUCAGUCUUCUAAAAGAGGCAUCCAAACAUCGCCUGAUGGCAAGGUGACGAACAUACCUGCGAGUAUGGUAAAGGAUCAAUUCGGCAUGGUUGGGCUUUUGACGUUUAUUAGAGCGGCGGAGACAGAUCCGAACUUGGUGUCGCUAGCGCUGGGUCAAGACCUUACUGCAUUAGGACUGAACUUGAAUUCGCCAGAAAAUCUUUAUCAGAAUUUUGGUGGCCCUUGGGCGGAAACUCCAUGUCGACCGCAAGAUAUAGAUUUUCAUGUACCACCGGAAUAUCUUAUAAAUGCCGCGAUCAGGGAUAAGCUAGCGCCAGUUAAACUAAAUCGAUAUAAAGAUGAUCUACUGUUUUAUAUGUUUUAUACAAAUGUUGGGGAUGUAUUGCAAUUAGCUGCUGCAGCGGAAUUGUACAGCAGAGAGUGGCGAUAUCAUAUGGAGGAAAAGGUAUGGAUAACGCAGGCGCCAGGUUUGGGGAUUGUAGAAAAGACGUCGACAUACGAACGUGGUACUUAUUAUUAUUUUGAUGCGCAAAACUGGAGAAAGGUAGCUAAGGAAUUCCAUUUGGAUUAUGCAAAACUAGAAAGUAGACCUCAUCUUCCUUCGAACUUUCACCAAACUCAGCCUUGACUACAGGAUUCUGCCAAUUAUUCUUACAUCAUUCGGACAACUGUUCUUCUUAAAAUUUAAAAGAACGUAAAGAAUAACUGAAGUUUAUAAAAGCUGAAGAAAUUUUCACAAGGAUUAGAACAGCCUGCGACCACAUCAUCGGCAGCCUGCCAUAAGAUAAUGCCAUAAAAUAACAUACUUGAAGAACUAGGAAGUACACCUUUAGAUAAUCCUUUUGAUAUGAAUUGCUCUGUCAAUUCUCUAUACAUAUAAUGGUUCGCUGAGCUAAAACAGGGAUGAACUUUGGUGAAUUUUUUAUCAAUAGCAUACAUCAGCUUACAAGAAAGAGAAUUUUGGUGUAACAGCCAACAAUUUUUUAAUAAUGUAUUAAUAAAAUUUCUUACUGUUUCUCUUUAAAAUUCGAAUAAUAAAUAUGAUAAUAAUGAUAUGAUAAUCUCAUCAAAUUGCUUGUUCUUUAUUAAAUCUUUUGUAAAGGUUUUCUCGGAACAAGUUAGAUUGUAAUAGAUACUUUCUCACACAAAAAAUAAAUUGUUCACUUCAUCCUAUAACUUUUUUAGUAAAAUUAUGUUAUUUGAUACCUUCAAGGUCCACAUAUUCUGUUCGGCACACUGUAAAUUCCAAGCUGUGAGGUUGAUCUCUCUUUUACAUCUUUCUUUCCUUACUCGUCUACUCUUCUACUUUACGCUCAAAUAGUGUUUCUGCCUCUCUUGCUUUUAAUAUAACUAAAAAUAAAACAUAACACAAAGUAUUCAUCUUAUCUCAGAAUACUUACUCCA